Molecule: ribosomal RNA, 482 nt
Filed under: uncultured bacterium
Lineage: Bacteria
Description: partial 16S ribosomal RNA
Rfam family: Bacterial small subunit ribosomal RNA
Source: RNAcentral
UAGGGAAUCUUCCACAAUGGACGAAAGUCUGAUGGAGCAACGCCGCGUGAGUGAUGAAGGGUUUCGGCUCGUAAAACUCUGUUGUUGGAGAAGAACGGGUGUCAGAGUAACUGUUGACAUCGUGACGGCAUCCAACCAGAAAGCCACGGCUAACUACGUGCCAGCAGCCGCGGUAAUACGUAGGUGGCAAGCGUUGUCCGGAUUUAUUGGGCGUAAAGCGAGCGCAGGCGGUUUUUUAGGUCUGAUGUGAAAGCCUUCGGCUUAACCGGAGAAGUGCAUCGGAAACCGGGAGACUUGAGUGCAGAAGAGGACAGUGGAACUCCAUGUGUAGCGGUGAAAUGCGUAGAUAUAUGGAAGAACACCAGUGGCGAAGGCGGCUGUCUGGUCUGCAACUGACGCUGAGGCUCGAAAGCAUGGGUAGCGAACAGGAUUAGAUACCCUGGUAGUCCAUGCCGUAAACGAUGAGUGCUAAGUGUUGGAGG